Long non-coding RNA from Pan troglodytes (chimpanzee), 246 nucleotides. RefSeq lists it as uncharacterized. Lineage: Eukaryota; Metazoa; Chordata; Mammalia; Primates; Hominidae. The record is from RefSeq and is a predicted model, not a curated record. The transcript has 2 exons.
CAGAAUACAAAUCCUCCACCGUAUCCUGUCCGUUGCAUCCCCUCCCACCUGCUACCACUUCUAUCCACUUUACCGAUAUGGUCACGAUGAGCGCUACAAAAUUGCUGCCAAAUAAUGUUGUGAACUACUUGUCAUGGGAUAACCAAAAUUAAACCUGGAAUCUCAGAAGAAACAAAUUGUUUGAAGAAGUUGGAUGUGCUUUAAAAUUUUUAAAUUUUUCAUUCAACUAAAACUUUGUGAACUGUU